GUAGGAGAGGGUCUCGAACUUCUUGAUGCCCUCAAUCGGCCACACCUGCAUGCACCUGAUCCUGCCGCCAUUGCUGACGUUGCCGAAGCUGGAGUUGCCGGAGCGGCGGGCGACGGGCAUGCCGGCGGUGGACUUGAGCCCCUGGAAGGGAGCGACGGUGGUGGCCGACGACGCCAUCACGGAGGGGGCCAUCUCUGCAGCUCACCAAGCUCUCUCCUUCUUUGCUCGAGUACUUCUUG
This 239-nucleotide unclassified non-coding RNA is filed under the name Hevea brasiliensis (rubber tree). The record is from RNAcentral. Lineage: Eukaryota; Viridiplantae; Streptophyta; Magnoliopsida; Malpighiales; Euphorbiaceae.